This 256-nucleotide ribosomal RNA is filed under the name uncultured bacterium. Its description in RNAcentral is "partial 16S ribosomal RNA". It matches the Rfam family "Bacterial small subunit ribosomal RNA", at positions 524 to 776 of the family's 1533-position model. The record is from RNAcentral.
UACGUAGGCAGCGAGCGUUGUUCGGAGUUACUGGGCGUAAAGGGUGUGUAGGCGGUUGUUUUAAGUUUGGUGUGAAAUCUCCCGGCUCAACUGGGAGGGUGCGCCGAAUACUGAAUGACUUCGAGUGCGGGAGAGGAGAGUGGAAUUCCUGGUGUAGCGGUGAAAUGCGUAGAUAUCAGGAGGAACACCGGUGGUGUAGACGGCUCUCUGGACCGUAACUGACGCUGAGACACGAAAAGCGUGGGUAGCAAACAGG